GCCGGUUUAGCUCAGCUGGCCAGAGCAUCUGAUUUGUAAUCAGAGGGUCGGGGGUUCGAAUCCCUCAACCGGCACCA
This 77-nucleotide transfer RNA is filed under the name Rickettsiales bacterium. RNAcentral describes it as "tRNA-Thr". It matches the Rfam family "tRNA". From Rfam's summary of the family: Transfer RNA (tRNA) molecules are approximately 80 nucleotides in length. Their secondary structure includes four short double-helical elements and three loops (D, anti-codon, and T loops). The record is from RNAcentral. Lineage: Bacteria; Pseudomonadati; Pseudomonadota; Alphaproteobacteria; Rickettsiales.